RNAcentral lists this long non-coding RNA (12173 nucleotides) under Nicotiana tabacum (common tobacco). RNAcentral describes it as "long non-coding RNA (NTAB_LNC001864)". Lineage: Eukaryota; Viridiplantae; Streptophyta; Magnoliopsida; Solanales; Solanaceae. The record is from RNAcentral.
AUAUAUAUAUAUAUAUAUAUAUAUAGUGGGCAGUAAUCAGAUUGUGGAAUUUCGUUUAUGAAGAACUCUACCCUUCAUUUGAAAAACCCAAAGCCUAAGCGUAUUAUAUAUGAACUUUCCCUUUUUGAUUCGACAGUGGUCAUGUUAUGAACUUUCCCUUGUGAAUUGUGAUAACAUCAGUUGAUUUGCUGUAAUUUUCAAACUAUGAAGCUGCUCCAUAACCGGUAACUCCACAUUGUUACUUCAUAUUUCACAUAUUCCCGAAUAAUAUUUUUUUAGGAAAAUAAAAGUUUCUUUUUGUAUGUUUGAUUUCCUUCACUUCACUUUUAACCAUUAUAUUACUUCUCCAAUCAUUUCUAUUUCCUGCACCCGCUCCGCUUAAUUUUAUGUCUCUUUCAUUUUGUUGGUUUUAUUUCUUUUUUAUCUUUUGGCUAGAAUUGUUAAUUCUCUUAUGAUAUAUUUUCGUACUUUUUAUAUAUUUUUAAGAUUAUAACAGACUUCAACUGAGGAAAGACAAGAUAUAUGGGAAUUACAUCUUGCACAUAUAGAAGUUACUUAACAAAAAGCUUUAGACAUCAAAUCGUCCUUGGCUUUAUCCUUUAAAUUAAGUCUCUCUUGUUUUUGUAAGUGUCAAAUGGAUUUCCACUGUAGUAAUGGUAAAUUUGGUUGUUAAUCCUAGAUUUGAACCUAGACUUAAGAAGAAAAAAAAAAGAGUAUAUGUUAUUUUUAUCAUAUUCAAGCUUACAUUAGAAAUUGAAAAGAAUCACCAUCAAGAUCAAAGAAUCACCAUCAAGAUCACAACUCGCAAAGUAUUUGAGCAAAAUUAGGUGGUAGAACUUUGAUUGAUAAUUACAGAUUUAUAAUUAAUUGACAAUUAUGUGUUAGAUAUUACAAUUUUAGAACUUGCCAUAAAAGGAUGAGAAUCUAGGUGCAAACAUUUGUUUUAGUUAGCUUUUACACAGAGAAUGAAUUAGCGCAAUGCAGGAAAUAAUAGAGCACAUUAGCAAGAAUAAAAAUAUCACAUACAGUAGGCUGUAUUAAGGCGCCCAACAUUUUUUAAAAUAAUAAAACACUAGAAGUACCGAUCGAGAACAAGGAGAAAUGAACAAAGGUAAAUCCACUCUACAGAAAGUAAUGACAAUACAUUUUUGUCCGUACACAUUUCAAAUCUCAUUUUAUUAAUUUUGGACACUCCUUAUUUGCAGAAAUGGGAAUUAACAAAGUAAAGAUAAACCAGAUAACCUUGGCAAGUACAGGAAACCUUUCCUGAAUUAUAACUAGAGGAAAUUCAGGGUCGUUUUUUGCUGUUGACAAUUCAUGCUGGCUGGUGCAAGGUUAGUGAAAUCUAAAGCCAUCUCAUUCUUCACUUCUCUCUUGUUCUUGGUCGUAGCUAUCUAUAUAUAUGCACAUUAGUCAUUUGGAGAAACAUGGAAGAUAUUUUUGCAGACUCCACCUAAUUCGUGCUAGUGGAAGAGAAGAUUUAUCAUCUAAAAUUUACCUUGUUCUCCAGAUGUUUGUUUUCUUCACUCAGCAGUUUUUCCUGUAGAGAAAGAGUCAAAGGGUCAUGCCUGCUGUCAAGCAUAGUGUAAUAGCAACUUUAACAUCAUAUUAGUUCGAGUAGAUAUUCUACGACAACUCAGCUGACUUGCAUAGAACAACCAACAUUUUGAUAGAGAAGGGUUCAUACGAUAGACCAAACUCUUAUUUUUCGAGAAAUGCUUUCCCCAUACCAAUUCACAUAUUUGGGCCUCUGUAGUAACCGAUCACACCUACCUUCUCACGAAGACUUUUGAUAGAUUCAAUCAUCAAAUGCGUCUGCAUAAAACAAACUAGUCAAAUCUCCUUCCAAGGAUAAACAAAUGUCAAAAUAUACUUAAAAAGAAUAUGCAAAUACUUCUAAAAUUACGAAAUAGUCAAAAUAAAUGACUAGCUUGUGAAACCACGAAACAUUUUCAGGUCCCUGGCUUUUGGACAAGAAAAUAAAUCAAGACAAACUUACAAAUUACUACCUGGUAUAAGAUUACAAGAGGUAUAAAGAAUGAGAACACAACUGAAGUACACUAGCUACGGGGUGUAACGGUCUAAAAAACGUGAUGUACAGAUCAACAUUUACCAGAGUUCUAAAAAAUGCAAAUUUAACUAGGAAAGUAAAAAACGUAGAGAGGAACUUGGUGUGACCUUGCUAGAUCUGACUUGCAUUAGAGCAGUUGGCAGUUGGUUUUCCAAAUGGACAAGGUCAGUUACACUGAGAUCAUCAACAGCAGGUUCCUCGAGUUGCCUUUCAAAUUGAGACAGAAGAUCAGUAGUAUUCCUUUCAAGAAAUGAAAGAGGAGCAUGAGGUCAGUACCUUCCUACCGUUUGUAACAGUUGUCCCACUGUCAUGAAGCUUGCAUAUUUAGAGUGCUAUUUCCACCUCACAAGGACAGAAAACUUUCAGCAAUCAGAACUGUAAAUAUUGAUCACUACUCUAAAUGCAUCAAAUAACACAUGAUGAAUUGAUAAUAAGUUAUUCCAUAUAAUAAUGGACUAUAAAAUAAUACUGUCAGAGGUUGUCCUUAUCAAAAGAAAAAAAUACUGUCCGGUUGUUUUGCUUUCAACAAAAUACUAACCAUGUCUAAGCACAAGUCAUUUAGAUGAACAAGACAAGACACUUGUUAGGUGCCAUGCCAUGAUGACAAGUUACCAUCAUUAAUCACUACAUACUAGGUUGGGUCAGAGGGCACACCGCACGCCAAUAUCCCGAUGUGCAUGUUGGUGUCUUUAGACGUAUUCAGGAUACAGGAAAUUACACUGGAUUAUACAGUUCAUUUGGAAAUAGUCUCUGACUGAUCAUAUAUCAGUAUGUAUUGACUAUGCAUCUAUGGGGUUGUUUGAUUAUUAUUCAGGGUACUGUACAUAAGUUAUUACUAGUUUACAGGCAGUGAACAUAUUUCAGGUAUCCAGAGAGAACUCUUUAAGUCAUCAGAAUAAACUGGAUUGCCAAGUCAACUACCCAUAUACCUCGGUGUCCAAAACUUCUGCAGAGCUCUCUUUUUCUGCUUCCACAUGGCUGUGGUAUCGAUGAACGAUCUCUGUGAGACUGAAACAUACAAAAGUGUGAGAUGCGAUUACUAAUGUGUAAGUACACAAAAUUGUAGGAUACAAUUAUUAAGUGAUAAAUUACUUAUUCCCUCAAGUUAUUUGAUGUUUAAGCAGUUAAGUUUACAUGUUCUAAACUAUGAAAGAAGCUGAGAAUUGCAUAAUCACAGGAAAAUAAUAAACUUAAUUGAUUUUAUCCAAUCCUAUAUAGUAUAUUUCACAAUUACCUCAAGCUGGUGUAUACUUUCUAGAUGUGCUUUAUAGUUUCUCCAAGGAGCUGCAAGCCCUCAUUUGUAUUUCUUGUGCCUUUGAUUUUUUUUUUUCCAUUUUAAUUCACAACCUCGUUAGCAUACGUUGACUUUUUUUUCUUUUUUUCCCUUUGGGUUGCAAGCCUGGAAGGACCUUUUAUCGAAGCAUAGAGUUCGUAUUUGGCCAACAGAAUGGGGUGUCUCGGUGAUGAUGCUACACAAGCUCCCUUGAUUGGUUUCAAAGGUGUGUGUUUUUCUACGUUGUUGUUGUUAACAUGAAAUAUCUUGAACUAGAAAUAUAAAGUGCAUGAGCAAAAAUGCUCUAGAAAGUUGACAUGCCAAAAACAUAGACGAGAAAAGAACGAGCAUGACAAUAAGAAGCAUCAAAUCUUGUUGAGGUUGCCUUGGCGAUAAGGAAAUAAUCUUCUAAAAUUUGAGAAAUUUUUUAAGGUGACACGAAUCGUCACAAAAUCAUAUCACUCGAAUAACCAUGCCAGGUAAAGGUGAUACCAUACUGUGUGGGUAUUCUAUUAUGAGGUAAAAGGGUGUAAAGCAUAUUAGAUGGACGUUAAAAGCUUCGUAUAACUUGAAAAAUCAUUCAUUCAUUCAUCUGUAGGAGGUCAGAGACCUUAUACUAACUUUCAUACUAACUUUCAUACUUAUAAUAGCAAUCUUUGAUAGAUUAGAACUUGAUUAACCGUAGUAUAGUAGUUUCAUAUUAGAAUCAAAGGAAUAACUGCAAUGGUCCUCGUAUGGCACAAGAUUAUGCUCUAGUAUGGUGAGAGACCUAGCACAAAAUUAUUACACCUGCGUGAGGGUCACAAAAUAUGUUUAACAUAAAGAAGCAAAGCGAGCAUCGGGACUAAGUAGAGUUGUUCCUCCAUGGAUCAACAAGCCAAGAUCAAAGAAGGAAUAGAUAGCGCAUCCAAAAAAAGACAAAGUCGAAUAAUAGCUAAAAACCUCAUUCCAGAAGGCACUCUACCACAGUUGUAUUUGAACAAUAGCUACAAAUGCCUAGUACUACCUUGCAUGAAGUGUAAUCGAGAUUGUGAUAUUGUGGAAUAUGUUGAUCUUUUCAAUGAGAUAAAAACUUGGCACCACACUCCAUAACAGCACUUCAGGACUUCCAAACGACGUUUUUCGCCAAGAUUAAGACUCUCUUAAUAACUUCUCUAUGCGGCUAUGUUGCGCGGACUCUCCUAAAUGCUGCUGCAUCCGUGUCAGAUCCUUAAAAAAUACCAUGUACCCGACAAAAUUUUCGGAGAGUUCGAGCAACGUAGCUCUAUGGAACACAAUCGUUAGAAAAAAUCUUUUUUUUUUUCCAACUAGAUUUUAAAACUAGUAAUUUCUAUUAGGUUCUACUUUUUAUCUUUCCCUACUGCCCCAUCCUUGUAGCUAGAUCAAGAAAGAACCAAAUCAAUCCUUCUUAUGAAGUGGCUAUGAAAAUUUCCAAAGGAAAAGAAAAAGCCAUGGUGCUCAUAUUUCGCUGCUAAGUGCCUCUCCAAUGGCAAAAAUGGAUUGACCAACCCACCUCGUAAAUAUCAUGCAUCUAAAGCAAAUACUCGGAAUGCUCCACGACUAAGUAUACCCAUUCAGACUCACUUUUGUUCAAUUAUAAAAAAGUUUAUCCACGACACAUCUCCAUACAUUAACUAGUUGAAUUCCAAAAUAUCUCCUUAUGGCGCACCAUUAUAGCACAACACUUUGCAAGCUGUCUUCCUUGUUGGAUCUGUGUAGAGUAGAAUAUCUAUUCUCCUUCUAUGUACUUGAUCUCGUAAAAGCAACUUAUGUCAAGAAGCCCGAAUUCCUAGUAAAUAUCAAAAAACUAAACAUAUGUGUAGAGUAGAAUAUCUAUUCUCCUUCUAUGUACUUGAUCUCAUAAAAGCAACUUAUGUCAAGAAGCCCGAAUUCCUAGUAAAUAUCAAAAAACUAAACAUUACCUCUUUCAGAAGACGAUAUUAAGAAACAACCAGUGUUAUCAAAGGCGUGUUUAAAGCGCGCUUAAGCCCUAAAGCGAAGCUCAAAACAUGUUGAGCGCUUCGCCUCGCUUAACGGGCGCUUCAGUGUUAUCAUCAAGGCUCUAAGGCAUACUUUUCCUUGCCAAUAAGUGUAAUCCUGAAAAGGUGACACUAAACAAUUGAUAUUUCACUUUAUCGUAAAUUCUCUUCAAUUUCUUUGUCAAUAUAUUCGGCAUUCAUGCUUAUAUAUAUUAGUCUUGGACUACACGUACAUAUUUGUAGUUUUUCUCCAUUUGCGCCUUUCUUCUUUAAAGCCAAAGCUUCAUUUGCGCUUUGCGCUUAAAGCCCCAACAAACUUUAGAGAUUUUUGGAAACGGAAAGAGGGAUUAAAGAUAUGAACCGUAUAGUCACAUAUUGUUAGAUCGCCAGACGCUUUCACUAUGUUACGGCUAAUAAGUUAUUCCGGAAAUUUUAACUAGGGGUAUAUAAUAAAAAAAAAUUACAAAAAUUUUAAAAGCUAAUAUUAAUAAACAUCUUUUGAAGUGUUUGUAAUGGAUCAGUAAAUUUAUAAUUGAUGUACCCAUUUUUUUAAGAUGUCUGAGUAAUAAUUUCCAUUAGCAAUAUUAUCAAUAGUCAUACUUUCAUUAUCCAACCAAAGAAAAAUAAAUUGGCAAUUUAAAUUCAAAUUGAAACUACAUCAAAAUGACUGAAUAGGGUUUUCCUAAUACUUUGGGUAUAGGUAAGAAUUUGGAUCACUUGGAUCAAAUUCUUUUUUUUUAGACCUUUUACAAGUAGAUAGAGCAAUAUAUUUUCUUUGGUUCAAUGUUGAAAGAAUGAUAUCUAGGAUUUUGAUUUUUUCCUUUACGGCUGUGGGUUGAGAAAAUAUGCAUAUAUCUUUAAAAAUAAUGGGUAGGCCGCCAACUCUAAUCCCUAAUUAACUCAAUAGUAUUCCAAUGCAUAAUUUACAUAUUCAAUCUUGACAAUCGAUGUUAGGGUUUCUUUCUCCUAAAUGUUAUUUACAAAGUUUCUUAGAGUUGAGAUUGAGGGUUUACUAAAUGAAGAAUUUAUAGCAAAAGGAGUAGAGCUUGAGUCGGCUAGUCCUUUUUUCUCAUCAUUUCUCGAUGAAAGAUUACCCUAUGACAAUGGACACCUCCAUGGUCGUUAAUUAGAAUUCAUAUGUUGUACCUGGUCGUUCAGCUCUGUUCCCUAUUGGAGAAAUGGAAGGAAUUUCCCCUUAAGUAUUGUCAGAAUUGAAAGUAUUCAAAUAGCAAAUCUUGCAUACAUUGAAUGCCUUUGGAUUUGAAAAAUUAACAUGCAAUGUUAUGCACAUUGUUCAUGAUUGCUACUCGUUUAUAUAUUUUGUGCUGCCACGUGAAACACUUACCAGUAUCACUGCCACGUUAAACACUUCGAUAUUCACCAAUUCAACUGCAUAGAGAAUUGUGUAGGCUGAAGAGGUUAAAGCUGACCAAGGCAUGAUAGUUUCAAGGCACCAUGCCCAAUAAGAUAAAUAUUCAGAGAUAGUCAAGGGAGUAAAGAUGACGACUAAUGAAGUUCAUUAUCAAAGACACGUGGAAACAUGCAUUGGAUCUACAAGUUGAGGAUUUACUAUCAAAGUUUUAUGACAAAACUAUUGGAGUAUCCAACCAUGUGCAUCAUUGACAUUCCGUCUUUCAGAGAUGCUCAACACAACAUUGACUUGAUUGUCGACUCUGUCAUUUCAAAUAUGUCAACAUAUUGUGUUAAUCCUAAAGUCCAUAAAAAUAUGCAUUAACAAGAGGAAGGAUUACUUAAAACUGAAUCAAUUCCGCAUGAGGAAUAUGUUUCAAAGAGGAAUAUGAAUUAUUUGAGGUAUGUUGGAGAAACAAGAUGAGCAAAAAAACCAACCCCCAUUUUCCUCUUAAAGCUCUCUCUUGAUCUCUCUCUCUCUCUCUCUCUCUCACACACACACACACACACACAUAUAUUCUUAAAAUUUGAAAUUUAGUUAGACUAAAUUUCAAAUUGUAUGUUAUAUUGUGUCAUAUUAUAUGUUAUUUGCAAAAGACAUAGUCCUGGUUGACGAGACGCAGGGUGUUGUUAAUGAGAGGCUGGAGGUUUGGAGACGGACCCUAGAAUCUAAAGGUUUCAAGUUGAGCAGGACCAAGACAGAAUAUUUGGAGUACAAUUUCACCGACAGCACCCACGAAACAGACAUGGAUGUGAGGCUUGAUACACAAGUCAUCCUCAAGAGAGAGUUUCAAGCACCUUGGGUCAAUAAUACAAGAAAAUGGAGAGAUUAAUGAGGAUGUCACAUAUCGUAUAGGAGAAGGAUGGAUGAAAUGUAGAUUCACAUCUGGUGUUUUGUGUGAUAAGAAUGAGCCAUUAAAACUUGAAGGUAAGUUCUACAAAGUGGUGGUUAGGCCUACUAUGUUGUAUGGGGAAGAAUGUUGGCAAGUCAAGAACUCUCAUAUCCAGAAGAUGAAAGUAGCUGAAAUGAGGAUGUUGAGAUAGAUGUGCAGAUAUACCAGGUUAGAAAAGGUGGGAGUGGCCCUAGUGAAGGAUAGAUGCGGAAGGCGAGGCUGAGAUGAUUUGGGCAUGUGAAAAGGAGAAGCACAGAUUCUCCAGAUUCAAGGUUUCAUUGUGAGGGUGUAAAGCCCCGUAAAAUUUCGCAAAUGAAUUCAAGGUUUCGUGGUACCGGAGUAGGCUUACGUGUUUGAGGAUUGUAUAAAAUCUUUUUAAGCUCGCCGCGACUCGGACUUUUAAAGGAAAAUUUUUGGCAGAGAAAUGUGUUUCUGCGGUCCAUUAUGCGACCGCAGAACAGGUCUGCGGUUCAUUAAAAUGACCGCGAACCCAGGCAGAUUUUUCCCAGUUCCAAAGGCCAAAUUAUGCGGCCUAUAUAUGGACCGCAUAUCAAUUAUGCGAUCGCAGACCCUGUUCCGGAGCUUCAUUUUUGGGUUUUUAUAAUCCGACCCUACUUUGUUAAAUAGACGCAAUGGACCAUUUUCGAGCAAAAAUCUGAUGUUUUAGAGAGAAGUGAGUGUGUUUUAGAGAGAGAAAACCCUAGGCUAAUUAUUCAUCAAGUCUUGCUCAAAUCUUGAAGAUUAACAAGGAAAACCCACAAGGACUUCAUCCUAAAGGUAAGAUUCUACACCCUAACCCUCAAUUUCGAAUUUUGUCUAGAAUUGGGUAAUUAGUAAGAUAAUUUUUGGGCAUGGGAGUUGUCCAUCUUGCAUGCAUGUGUUAUCAAGGGGUGUAGGAUGAUUGUUGAGCUAAAAUGGUAAAGAAUGGGUUGUGGGAUGAUGGAGUCCUCUAUAAAAGGACCUUGAAAUCUUGAUGCACACCUAGUGUUUGAUAAAAUGCUCAAAUGAGCUAGAACCAUGAUCAUCUUCCUAAUUUUGGUUCAAUUUGUUAUAUUUCUCAAAUAGCUUGAAGUUGCUAAGAAUUCCGGAACAUUUUAGAGUUUAAGGAAGCUUCAUUGAGGUAUGUUGGCUAAACUUCUCUCCUAGAAUUGAAUCCCAUGAUGUUCUUGUGAGUCCCGAGUUAUCCAUUAUAAAUUAACUAUUCCAAAUAAGCUUUGUGUUGAAAGGUAUAUGUUGAAAAUGUGUUCCGGAUGCUCUUAUCAUAUGAUGUUAUCCUUCGAAAAUGUGUUAAAAGCAUGAGUUAGGUAUAAAAAUGUUAUGACUCCAACUAGUGUUUCAAGUGAAGGCUAUUAUGCCAAAUUGUGUAAGAAGUCUCAAUGUGCAUAGGACUCUUAAUUGCUCAUAGGUGUACUAAAAGUCGUGAUUAAGGAUUCCUUGUUGUCGAUAAUCUAUAAAGAUGCUUGAAGGUGAAAGUAGUGAGUUGGGGAUAUAAAGUGUGGACACCGUGCCAAGAGUGAAAGUAUGCUUGUGGCCAAUAGCGCCAAUGAAAUGAAAUGAUGUGUGAAGUGUUAUGAAAUGAGCCUUGAUUCAACUAUUCCAAAUUUACUCCGAAAAUAGAAUUAUCCAAAAGCUUAUGUACUCAAGUCAUAUCCAAAUUUACUCCGAAAAUAGAAUUAUCCAAAAGCUUAUGUACUCAAGUCAUAUCCAAAUGUAGUUGUUCUAACCAAUGCUAGGCUUGGUAGGUAUAUUGUGUAUGGAGCCCUAUGAACGGUCUAUGAAACGCAUAGGUGUAUUGUCUAUGAAAUCUUAUGAACGGUCUAUGAAACGCACAGGUGUAUGUGUAUUGUGUAAGUAAACACUGUGAACGGACUAUGAAACGCACAGUUGUAUUGUGUAAGUAAACACUGUGAACGAAACGCACAGGUGUAUGUGUAUUGUGUAAGUAAACACUGUGAACGGACUAUGAAACGCACAGUUGUAUUGUGUAAGUAAACACUGUGAACGGUCAUAUAUAUAUAAUGAUUAAUUUUAUAAACUAAAAUACAUAUUAAAAUUAAUAAAUAAGAAGAAGAAUAAAAGGUGGGGAAAAAGAAAACCAGCGCCUGCCCUAGCUGUGCAGGCUGGAGGAGAAAAACUGAAAAAGAGAAGAGAAGAAGAAGAAAAAGAAGGAAGAAGAAAGAAAAAAAGAUAAAAUACCUUAGGGUGAGCAGACGCCUGGACUGGAAAAGGAAGAAGAAGAAAGAAGGAAAAAAAGGAGAAGAAAGGAAAAAAAAAUUACUUGGAGGAAGUCUCUGGCGACUGAAACCCUAGCAGCAGCAAUUGAUUUUGGGAAGAAGAGAGAAAUGGUCGAUCAAUUUGGUCUUAGGGGUCUGUUUUGUAUUAAAAAAAGACAGACCCAAACUUUCUUUUUUUUAAAAGCUGACCCCUUUCGACUGAAGCGAGCACUUUUGCGCUUCACGCUUCAAAGUCGCUUCGCGCUUCUUCGACUGAAGCGAGCGCUUCAUCUGGUCGAGUUGCCUCAGACAUGGAAAAGCGAGGAGCCAUCGCUUCGCUUCGCUUCUCGCUUAAAGCGGCGAAGCGAUCGCUUUUUAAAACACUGACCCUGCUGAAGCGACAGGUAUGUUCUGAUUUUUCUCCUCCUUCUUCUUCUUCUUUUUCUUUUUCUUUCACUGUUUAAACGUCCAAAAAGCAACGAUUUUUUUUUUUAUCUUCGGUUCUUUCUCAGAAUUGAUGCCAAUUUUUAACAGUGAAAGAAAAAAUUACCCAGUUUACUGUCCAGUUUUUUUUUUCUCCUCUGCCCAGUUUUUUUUAUUUUACCUCUAAUUUUUAUAUCCUUUAUUGUUAAUUCUUAUUAUCUUUCUUAUGUUCUAUGUAGUAGUUCUUUUAAUGGCGAAGAAGUUGAAGAAGUUGACGAGCAAUAUAAUAAUGAUAAUGGAAUACAAGAAUUUGACAAUUUUGUAGAAGAAUAGGAUGCUCAUUUUGUGCUUUAAUUGAUGCUAUUAUUUAGUUUUUACAUUGAAGUAUUGAACAUUUGCUUACAAUUACAUGUGUUUAUGCAUUAUUUAUUUUAAUUUUUUUUUUAAAAAAAUUCCGCUUCACUUCAAAAAAGCAAGCGCUUCGCUUCUCGCUUCUCGCUUUAAGCGAAAUGGGGGUUGUCGCUUUUUCUCUCUUCACGCUCUUCACAACACUGCAUAGGUGAAAUGUAUAGUUGUAAGGUGAGGGGGAUGUGAACGGCCUAGUGAGACGCAUGGUUAACGCAGACAUUAGUUUCCACUUUCAUUGGCCUUGCUUGUACAUGUUGUUUCAAUUACUUUAUAUUAUGUAUUCCACACAUAGUUCAUAUGGUCCAGUUAAUCCUAAACGAAGUUUUAAAUGAUGUAAGCAUAACGAGACUUGAAAUGUGAAUCUAUAGGAUAUUUUGUAGCUCUCGAUGUACUUCGUAUGCCUCUCAUUUGAAUUACCAUGAUUUCAUAUGUUGUUAUGUUUGCCUUACAUGCAAGUACUAUUUCACAUGUAUUCACGCCUAUUUUGCCGGGGGCACUGCAUCUUUUAAUGGAUGCAGGUAUACUUCUACAGGAUGAUAUGGAUCUUUGAUAGGGAUCUUCUGCGCAACAGAUCAUGGUGAGCCCGCUACAAUUCCAGUGGGUAUUCGAGUCUAGUUGGUUUUAUGUACUUAGGUAUCUAUUGUCAUAGAAACUCCAUGUACACUAUGGGUCAUGUACUUAUGUUUUGAGUUUCACCAUGUAUCUAUGUUCACAGACAUUCAUGAAACUAUGUACCUGUCAUGAGAGAAAAAGAAUAGUAUGGGCCAUUGAGCCAAAUGUAUUCAAUAUGAAAGUCAAGAUUUAAUUAUGUUUUGAUAAAUCAUGCAUGACUUAUGAUGAGAGGUUGAUGUAACAUAGGCUUGCUCGACUGGGUUCACUCGGUUGAGGCGCCGGUCAUGCUCCCCAAGUUCGGGGCGUGACAGAGAGGUUGACCUUGGAGGAUAGGAGUAGAGAUAGGCCAAAGAAGUAUUGAGAAGAGGUGAUUAAACAGGACAGGGAGCAACUGGAGCUUACCGAGGACAUGACCCUUGAUAGGAGAGUGUGAAGGUCGAGGAUUAGGGUAGAAGGCUAGUACGUAAUUGAGCAUUUUUUUCUUUUUCUUUCUCUGACUGGUAGCUAGUGUAUCUUUCUUAUUCGAAGAUUGCUAUUACUACAUACUGUUGAUUGAUAUCUUCCAUUUUGAUUUUCUUAUAAUCUUACUGUUAUUACUACUUGUUGUCACUUCUUCUUUUCAUUUUCUAUUUAGCCGAGAUUCUAUUGGAAACAGCCUCUCUGCCCUCCCAGGGUAGGGGUAAGGCCAAUAUUAUAUUUGUAGUUGUAAUCAAACAAAGAUUUUUAGUUGGCAUAUUCAAUUCCUACUAGAAUUCUUUUUUCUAUUUUAGUUAAGAAAGGUUUUUCUUCACCUUUUUCUUAUUGCAGUUUAAUUCGGAUUAGUUUUCCUUAAUCUCAUCACAUUUACUUAGUGUAACGCCUAUUUAAAGGGCUCAAUAUGUUGAAACUAAA